CAGACCACAAUGGAGCCACAUCUUCUAGAAGCCUGUGUGCGUGAUGUACUGAAUGACACAGCCCCACGAGCCAUGGCUGUGCUGGAGUCACUACGGGUCAUCAUCACCAACUUUCCUGCUGCCAAGUCCUUGGACAUCCAGGUGCCCAACUUCCCAGCUGAUGAGACCAAAGGCUUCCAUCAGGUUCCCUUUGCACCCAUUGUCUUCAUUGAGAGGACUGACUUCAAGGAGGAGCCAGAGCCAGGAUUUAAGCGCCUGGCUUGGGGCCAGCCUGUGGGCCUGAGGCAUACAGGCUACGUCAUUGAGCUGCAGCAUGUUGUCAAGGGCCCCAGUGGUUGUGUAGAGAGUCUGGAGGUGACCUGCAGACGGGCAGAUGCUGGAGAGAAGCCAAAGGCCUUUAUUCACUGGGUGUCACAGCCUUUGAUGUGUGAGGUUCGCCUCUAUGAGCGACUGUGAGUGAACAGAGCUGGGGUGGGGGCAGGUACAAGAUGCACAUUGCCUGCUGUGGCUGCCCAGCUGGGGGUAUGACCUUCACUUUGGCUGCAGAUUCCAGCACAAGAACCCUGAAGAUCCUACUGAGGUGCCUGGUGGAUUUUUAAGUGACCUGAACCUGGUAGGUUCGUGAGGUUUGGGGUGAGGGAGGUAGGCCUCCCUGGUUGGAUGGUUGCCUGAGUUCCCUGCCUGCAGGCAUCACUACACGUGGUGGAUGCAGCAUUAGUGGACUGCUCUGUGGCCCUGGCAAAACCCUUCGACAAGUUCCAGUUUGAGCGUCUUGGAUAUUUCUCCGUGGAUCCAGACAGCCAUCAGGGAAAGCUUGUCUUUAACCGAACUGUCACACUGAAGGAAGACCCGGGAAAGGUGUGAGCUGGAAGCACUGAACCUACCUCAUCCUCCUGGAGGGUGUGGCUACCCUCGCCACCCCAAAUUCCAUGUCAAUAAAGAACAGCUAAAUUCUCCUAGA
This 961-nucleotide small RNA is filed under the name Pan troglodytes (chimpanzee). RNAcentral's name for it is "retained intron". The record is from RNAcentral. Lineage: Eukaryota; Metazoa; Chordata; Mammalia; Primates; Hominidae.